CACGCAUCAUCAUAAUGAGGUGGGUCACGCUUUCACAACUCCUACAGUGAGCGGAAAUGUAACCAAAGAAAGUUGAAACGAACCUUGGAAUCAUACUAGCAUUUAUUUUUAUUUCUUGCAGUCAUUCACUUCAGUUUGAUUUUUUAGAUUUUCAUUAGUUUCAUUAGCUCUUCAUUUAGCGGGAAUUCUGGGAACUUGCCUGUUUCAUAAUUCUGGCUAUAUCUGAACUGAUCUGUUCUUCCUGUGAACAAGCAGCCAGCACAAAUAAUAUGCCUCAAUCACCUGUCUUAUCAUCAUCAUCAUCAUCAUCACCCUUAUAAUAUUUAUUUAUGUCCCACUUUUUUCUCAGUCCAGGACUCAAGGCAGCAUACACAGGUAAAACAGAACAAGCUACAAACAGAAAAGGAAAUCAUUAAAAUGGAAUUAUAAAUACCAAUAGUAUUAAAAUAAUAUAAAAAGAUGCAUUAAAAUACUACGGCUCAGGCUUCCACAACAUGGUGCCCUCCCAAUAUUUUUUUUAUAUUACAGCUUCCAUCAGCACCAGCCAACAUGGGCAAUAGUCAGAGAUGGCAGUUGUAGUCCAAAACAUCUGGAGGGCACCAGGUUGGGAAGGUGCCCUGGUCUCUCUGUUAAAAGGGUGUCCAUAUGAUAGCUUCCAAGUGUCUUUUCAUUCUUGUAGGGCACAAUCGGUCAUCUAGUUUGCUAGGGAGCCAAGGGCGAUGAAAUGGUUGGUUUGCAAGGGGGAGGGGGAAGUCUCAAUGUGAACUUGACAAAACACAAGCAGAGCUUAUCAUCAAGUGUACUCUGCACACUCUCAAAAUGUUUAGCAGUGGUCUGUAUAACAAAACUUGUGCAGACUGCUUCACAGAGGUAUCGAUCAUGCUGUCAAGUCCUGUUGUGUGCCCCUGUACAGUUCCAGCUGUUCCAGCCUGAGCUUUGAACAAGGUGUCUGAAUGGAUCCAGCCUACCACAGGGCUGCUCAAUUCCUGCCUCUCUUCUCUUCUUACAUCUACCAGGGGACUGUGGCUCCAACAAUCUUAAAAUAAAUGGUUCUGAGACCAAUACUAAAGAAAUUCUUCCCGGACGCUGAGACUGGCCGCAACCACCACCACCACCAAGUCGAAAUGCCUUGUCACUGCGCAGUUCCAGCCUCUGUAGGAAAACACCUAUUACAUGGAUCCAUUUUAAUUGGCUUUCUUGACCGAGUUUGACUCAGAAACUGUUUUGUUUGCCCUGAUGAAUUAGCUACACCAGUAUAUGUUGCUAAGAUCCACAAAUGGAAGUUUGAGUUCCAAGGAUAUAAUGAGACAUAUCAUGCAGUUGUCUAGUGGAAAGACCCUGCAUAACAUCCACAGCUUGACAAAGGAAGUCAAGCAUAUAACUAUUGUGAUAGGCAGAUUUUUCCAAGGCCUAUUGGAGAUUAUGUAUAUCAACUAGGAAAUGUGCACAAUUCCUUCUUCAUGGGCAAAUCAUGUGUACAUUCUCCAUGAUGCUUGAUUGUUAUGUGCAUUAACUACUCAGCUUACAUUCUCCUUAACAAAUGCAUCAGAGCAGUUAAAAUAAUUUGUGAGGUAUUUUAAAAUGCUGCAUGAAUCUGAAACCCCUCUUGCUGAAAUAACACAAUGUUAGUUACAAUGUUAAGUUUCAGUUUGUCAACCUGGGGUGGAUCUACACAGAGGCGGGGAAAUGCUAUAAACAAGUCAGAAAUUAGACCCUUAUAACAACAACAAUGGAAAAACACAUAUAUAAAUUUCCUGCUCUCUCGCACCAUCUCCUGUUGCAUGUUUAUAGCACAUUCAAAUUGUUGUUUCUUUAUUAAUGUAGCUGAGUCCCUGGUUUUGUUCCUGAACUGGCUCCAAACACUGGUUUACCACAUCCACUGCCUCUCUUGCAUUGGAUGACAGGAACAAGAGUUAUGAGAUAUCAGACGUGUCUAAAGAGCCAAGGCUUAUUGUAGCAACAGAAGGCAAUGAAAGGCUACAUCACAUUUUGUAGACUUCAACGAUAUCCCAUGUCCCCUAAAUUGAAGGUUUAUAGGCCCCUGAACAAUUGAGUAUUAAGCAGCCAGUGAAGAAGAGAAGGGAGAUCAUUCCCUGCAAAUACUAGUGAACAUUAUAACACAAAUGUCUUUGUCAGACAGGAGAUCCUCUUGAAACUUUGCCGCCUCUUUUACAAUAUUUCAGCACCUAAUAAUCACACAAAAUGUGUUUCAUGUUGGCAGGUUGAGAAGAGUUACUGAACAUACUGAUCAUCUCAUGCUGGAACAGAAAAACAAUCUAUCUGCCCAUGCUGCUGAUGCAGAGAACGAGAAUGUCAGCAAUGAAGGCAACACGAAGGAAAC
This 2341-nucleotide long non-coding RNA is filed under the name Podarcis lilfordi (Lilford's wall lizard). The record is from RNAcentral. Lineage: Eukaryota; Metazoa; Chordata; Lepidosauria; Squamata; Lacertidae.